Non-coding RNA from Synergistales bacterium 53_16, 100 nucleotides. Lineage: Bacteria; Thermotogati; Synergistota; Synergistia; Synergistales. The record is from Rfam.
GGCCCAGCCCUGUGCGGCAAAGACCCGUGAACCCCGCCAGGCCCGGAAGGGAGCAACGGUAAGCGAUGAUCUUUGGGUGACACAGGAAAACUGGGCCUCC